This 660-nucleotide ribosomal RNA is filed under the name Parnassia farreri. RNAcentral's name for it is "eukaryotic LSU rRNA". The stretch from base 267 to 422 matches the Rfam family "5.8S ribosomal RNA". The record is from RNAcentral. Lineage: Eukaryota; Viridiplantae; Streptophyta; Magnoliopsida; Celastrales; Celastraceae.
UGUCGAAAUCUGCAGAGCAGAAUGACCUGCGAACAAGUGAAAAAUAAUGGCUGAAGAGAGGCACCACGGUCGCCUUCUCCUCUCAACCGAUCAUUGGAGUCGGUUGGUUGGGCCUCGUGCCCUCCCCCGUACCUCUUGUGGUCCCAAUAACCAUACCUCAGCGCGGAAUGCGCCAAGGAAAACAAACAGAAGGUACGCUGCUGCCCCUUGCACCCGUAAAUGGGUUGUGUGUGGCCUGCGUAUUUUGCUUAAUCUAACGUUACAACGACUCUCGGCAACGGAUAUCUUGGCUCUCGCAUCGAUGAAGAACGUAGCAAAAUGCGAUAGCUGGUGUGAAUUGCAGAAUCCCGUGAACCAUCGAGUCUUUGAACGCAAGUUGCGCCUGAAGCCGUCAGGCCAAGGGCACGCCUGCCUGGGUGUCACCCUCCCCCUUGCCCAAAUGCACGCCUCCUCCCAUCGAAAAAUGAGAUGAGCGAUUUGGGCGGAUAAAUGGCCUCCCAUGGGAAAUAUUUUCGUGGUUGGCCCAAAAUUAGCACUUGGCUCUUAGGAAGCCACGACAAGCAUUGGCGAAAAACUCAGGUGAUUCCUUGAUCGUUGUUGUGGUGCGGGACUUUGUAGCGUGCUGUAAAAUACCUCCGGUGCUUGCAUCCUAAGAUGCGA